RNAcentral lists this ribosomal RNA (128 nucleotides) under Pteropus alecto (black flying fox). Lineage: Eukaryota; Metazoa; Chordata; Mammalia; Chiroptera; Pteropodidae. The record is from RNAcentral. RNAcentral also lists the same sequence under 1 other name.
GUAUAUGACUACAUUAUAUAUGACUGUAACAUCAAGUCCGAUCCCAUCUGAUCUUGGAAACUAAGCGAGGUCAGGCCUGGUUACUACUUGGAUGGGAGACCACGUAGGAAGACCAGGUGUUAUAGGCA